UCUGGCUCAGGAUGAACGCUAGCGGGAGGCCUAACACAUGCAAGCUGAGCGGUAGAGUAUCUUCGGAGACUUGAGAGCGGCGUACGGGUGCGGAACACGUGUGCAACCUGCCUUUAUCAGGGGGAUAGCCUUUCGAAAGGAAGAUUAAUACCCCAUAAUAUAUAGAGUGGCAUCACUUUAUAUUGAAAACUGAGGUGGAUAAAGAUGGGCACGCGCAAGAUUAGAUAGUUGGUGAGGUAACGGCUCACCAAGUCGAUGAUCUUUAGGGGGCCUGAGAGGGUGAUCCCCCACACUGGUACUGAGACACGGACCAGACUCCUACGGGAGGCAGCAGUGAGGAAUAUUGGACAAUGGGUUAGCGCCUGAUCCAGCCAUCCCGCGUGAAGGACGACGGCCCUAUGGGUUGUAAACUUCUUUUGUACAGGGAUAAACCUAUUUACGUGUAAAUAGCUGAAGGUAC
This 460-nucleotide ribosomal RNA is filed under the name soil bacterium 13V-05. RNAcentral describes it as "bacterial SSU rRNA". It matches the Rfam family "Bacterial small subunit ribosomal RNA", at positions 18 to 478 of the family's 1533-position model. The record is from RNAcentral.